GACGAACGCUGGCGGCGUGCUUAACACAUGCAAGUCGAACGGAAAGGCCCUGCUUUUGUGGGGUGCUCGAGUGGCGAACGGGUGAGUAACACGUGAGUAACCUGCCCUUGACUUUGGGAUAACUUCGGGAAACUGGGGCUAAUACCGGAUAGGAGCUCCUGCUGCAUGGUGGGGGUUGGAAAGUUUCGGCGGUUGGGGAUGGACUCGCGGCUUAUCAGCUUGUUGGUGGGGUAGUGGCUUACCAAGGCUUUGACGGGUAGCCGGCCUGAGAGGGUGACCGGCCACAUUGGGACUGAGAUACGGCCCAGACUCCUACGGGAGGCAGCAGUGGGGAAUAUUGCACAAUGGGCGGAAGCCUGAUGCAGCAACGCCGCGUGCGGGAUGACGGCCUUCGGGUUGUAAACCGCUUUCGCCUGUGACGAAGCGUGAGUGACGGUAAUGGGUAAAGAAGCACCGGCUAACUACGCG
Molecule: ribosomal RNA, 468 nt
Filed under: uncultured bacterium
Lineage: Bacteria
Description: partial 16S ribosomal RNA
Rfam family: Bacterial small subunit ribosomal RNA
Source: RNAcentral